UACGUAGGGUGCGAGCGUUGCCCGGAUUUAUUGGGCGUAAAGGGCGCGUAGGCGGCGGGGUAAGUCUGGUGUGAAAUCUCGGAGCUCAACUCCGAAAUUGCACUGGAUACUGCUCUGCUAGAGGGCUGGAGAGGAGAUCGGAAUUCACGGUGUAGCAGUGAAAUGCGUAGAUAUCGUGAGGAAGACCAGUGGCGAAGGCGGAUCUCUGGACAGCUCCUGACGCUGAGGCGCGAAGGCUAGGGGAGCAAACGGG
Molecule: ribosomal RNA, 253 nt
Filed under: uncultured bacterium
Lineage: Bacteria
Description: partial 16S ribosomal RNA
Rfam family: Bacterial small subunit ribosomal RNA
Source: RNAcentral